Long non-coding RNA from Chenopodium quinoa (quinoa), 1448 nucleotides. RefSeq lists it as uncharacterized. The record is from RefSeq and is a predicted model, not a curated record. Lineage: Eukaryota; Viridiplantae; Streptophyta; Magnoliopsida; Caryophyllales; Amaranthaceae. The transcript has 4 exons.
UCAAUUUACUUUAAAUAAUCCUAACUUUUGAUUAUUCUACAAUGAUCCCAACUUUCACCUGUGUAUUCUUUCUUCAAUCCUAAAAACAGGCAACCUGCUUAAAAGGUUAAUUUUUUUAAAAAAUUCCAAUAUGCCACGUGUUGAGCAUUUAUUGGUCCAAAAAAUGAAAAUCUAAAAAAUAAAAAUAAAAACUAAAAAACAAAAGAAAAAAGAAAAAUCAACAGAAACACCAGCCUCGCCGUACUCCCUCCGAUCUCCUCCUCUCCAUUCCCAACUAGAAUCCAGCACUUCCUCCUCACCGGCGAUUGAGCAAGAUUCCGGCGCCACAUUAUGAUUUAUCAUCAUUUUUACUGGAGUUUCACUACUACAAAAUGCAUAUAAUCUCGAAGCUAUACCCUCGACACUAUGGAAGACCGUCACAACUAAAUUUAGGAUUCCGUGUUUCAACGACGCUUUUAAGUGUCAUUUUGACUUUCUCGACAACUUUCCCCAUCGAGAACAUAAAAAUAGUUACGUAUGAACGUGAUAUACAUUGUAGCCACUAACCAGCGUUUUAGGGUUAUCCCUUUUCAAUCCUACAAUUCAACCGCCACCUUUACAUCUUCUCUCUCUUACGAGUCUCUAGUCUCACUCCUCAAAUUUUCAUUCUUUGCUUCCAAAUUAUGGUUAAUGAAUUUCUCUACUUCGUAUGAUCACAAGAUCUGAAAUCUUCAAGGUAGAUAGGCAUUGUCGCAAAUAUGCAGAUCUCGCCUAAUAUAUCAUGGAUGAUGAAGAUAGGGAAAAAGAAAUGAAGGAUUGUGAUUGUUCGUGAACUUUUCACACAUUAACUUGGAUGUCAUGAACCUAAUUAUCACUAGUACAUAAGAGGUUGAUUUGCGUUUAAGAAGGGUUGUUUUGCAGGAAGCCAAAUCCGGCUCAGCAGAUUGGGACUAAAAACUUGAGUAAAUGUAUGGGUGAUUUAUCCUUUACCUCUUGGAUUGCUUGUUAGUGCGAAUGCAUAGACACAAGACUAUAAGAGGCCACCCAACCUAGAUAAGCUUAAGAGCUGGAUUCAUAAAAUUGCAUAGGUUUCCACUCUUGAACAGCUAUGGAGCAGAGUUUCGCGUGUUGAUCCGAGUCCUGAAAGGAGGAGGCUGCCUUAAUAUCUAGUCAAGUAGUAUAUACAGAAGCAUUGCGGUGUCAAGUUAUUCCACUAAGAAUGUCUUACCAGAUUAGCUACACACUUGCAUAAAAAAGAAGCUGCAAAAUAUAUAAAACAAUACGGAGUAGUAGUCUUCUUAUUUUUUGUUUAAUCUAAACAUGUUAUAGUAGAUAAGCAUAUUGUAUGUAAUUUUUAUUUGUUUAUCAGUGUUUAUGCGGUUAAUAUAAGAAAGAAUUAUGAAUAAUUUAACUUUAGAGAUGUAAUUUUUGGUACUUAACUAUAUCUAAAUAUAACUUGAUUUUUAGCA